RNAcentral lists this ribosomal RNA (853 nucleotides) under Russula sp. RNAcentral's name for it is "partial large subunit ribosomal RNA". It matches the Rfam family "Eukaryotic large subunit ribosomal RNA", at positions 44 to 869 of the family's 3401-position model. The record is from RNAcentral. Lineage: Eukaryota; Fungi; Basidiomycota; Agaricomycetes; Russulales; Russulaceae.
GUAUCUUGGGAGGAGAACUAACAAGGAUUCCCCUAGUAACUGCGAGUGAAGCGGGAAAAGCUCAAAUUUAAAAUCUGGUGGCCUUUGUCCAUCCGAGUUGUAAUUUAGAGAAGCGUCUUCCGCGCUGGACCGUGCACAAGUCUCCUGGAAUGGAGCGUCAUAGAGGGUGAGAAUCCCGUCUUUGGCACGGACACACCAGGGCUUUUGUGAUGCGCUCUCAAAGAGUCGAGUUGUUUGGGAAUGCAGCUCAAAAUGGGUGGUGAACUCCAUCUAAAGCUAAAUAUUGGCGAGAGACCGAUAGCGAACAAGUACCGUGAGGGAAAGAUGAAAAGCACUUUGGAAAGAGAGUGAAACAGUACGUGAAAUUGUUGAAAGGGAAACGCUUGAAGUCAGUCGCGUCGCCCGAGACUCAGCCUUGCCUCGGCUUGGUGUACUUCUCGGCUGACGGGUCAGCAUCAAUUUUGCCCCUUGGAUAAUGGCGAGGGAAAUGUGACACCUUUACGGGUGUGUUAUAGUCUCUCGUCGCAUGCAAGGGUCGGGAUUGAGGAACUCAGCACGCGCCUUUCGGCGUCGGGGCGUUCGCCCACGAUACGUGCUUAGGAUGUUGGCGUAAUGGCUUUAAACGACCCGUCUUGAAACACGGACCAAGGAGUCUAACAUGCCCGCGAGUGUUCGGGUGGAAAACCCGUGCGCGCAAUGAAAGUGAAAGUUUGGGACCUCUGUCGUGGAGGGCACCGACGCCCCGGACCAGACCCUUUCUGUGACGGAUCUGCGGUAGAGCGUGUAAUGUUAGGACCCGAAAAGAUGGUGAAUCUAUGCCUGAAUUAGGGUGAACCAGAGGAAACUUCUGGUG